AGAGACAGAAUGAGAUAGAGAGACAGGAAGAGAGUGAAACAGUAGAGAGAGAAAGAGAAAAAGAAAGAGAGUUAGUAAGACAAAAUUUCCAACCUAAUACUGGCCGUGAGUAGCAGACUGACAUUUAAAGAAGAGAGAGAAAAAGUCAGACAGGCUGGUGUGAUAUGUGAUAUUUUUCAGCUGUUUCCCUCCAAAUGAACUCAGAGGACAGGCUCCGGUAAGAAACAGCACUGUGAACAGUUCCAUUAGUGUUUUUGCGAGUAUUUGCAUGUGUGUGUCUCGUUUUGUCACCAUGUGGAAUGUCUGAUAUCUGGUGGAGUGCAUGGCUGUGUGUUCAUGUUUUACUAUCCUGGUGGGGACUGACAACCGUAAAACCUUAUCUUUAAUCAAUUGAUGUGAAGUAAAAGGAUGUUUGACUUAAGGGUUAGGUUUUGAGUAGAUGUUAUAAUACGGUUAGGGUUAGGUUUUGUGUUUGUUAUAAUAUGGUUAGGAUUUAGGUGUUGAGUAGAUGUUGUAUUAGGGUUAGGGUUUAGGUUUUGUGUAGAUGUUAUAAUAUGGUUAGGUUUGGUCUCAAAUAAGAUUGAUAUGGUGUCAGCUCACUUGGUCAAGGUCCCGAGAAGAGGGGAAAAGUUAACAUGUAGUGCAGGGUAUAGCUAGUUGAAUGUCCAUUCCCGUUUGUAAAAGUGGCACUGUUGAGACAAAAUGGGUCCCGAUAGAAUUGUGUAUUAUGUCAUGUGUAUUAAUUGUCUUUUAUUUUACUGCUUAACUUUUAUUUAAACUGGCACGGGAAUUGAGAAGUGAAUCUCGUUUCAGAUGGCGACCUGGCCAAAGACAUGAACAACUGCAAGACAACACUCAGUUACACAUGAAUAUGACAAUCAAAAGCAUUAUGUAAAAUGCAGUAAGCAAGAGAUGAAUCUGUUUCCAUAUUAGAUGAUAAUUCCCAAGGUCUGUUUCACUGAAUAUAUUCUCAAAAAUGUUACAUACAAAUACAUCUUUAUGACUGUAGAGCAAACAAUAGUAAAAAUUACAAAGUAAACAUACAUAACAUGAAACAUCUCUUGGAGUGUUACACCAUCUUGAAUACAAUAAUGCCUGAAAGUAUGUUAACCCUUUGUGCAGUAAUAUAUAUUUUUGUGUUCACCAUGAAAUCCUUAUUUAAUCAGAACCAGCCUUUUUUAUCUGUAAUAACAGAUUUAUAGGCUCCAAUUCCAUGUUGGUUUAGAAUAAACUAUACAUGCAAUAGGAAACCAAUGUUAAAAAGUAAUUAGUGCAUGUACAAAAAUAAGUAAAACCCCAAGUUGUCGUGAUUCUGGAGAAGGCUAUACAACCAUCUCAAAAUGAUUUGAACUCCAUUAGCAUGCUGAAAGGAUUUACCAUGACAACAACUUGCCUAAGUGAACGCCCCCAAAAUAUCCCCAAGAGCCCAAGCAAAAUAAUAAAUCAGGCAAAUGCCAACUUAAACAUAACAUCUGGAUCAUAACAUUAUUUGCAAACCUCCCUAGCUGCAUCUUAGGUUACUGUGAAUGUGUCAACAAUAAGAAGAACCCAGGAAUCGACAUGGCAUUAAUGGGAGGAUCGCUAGGAAGAAGCCUCUGCUGUCAAAACAGAACCAAAAUGCCCGUCUUAACUUUACCAGUGACCACCUAAACUUUUACCACCAAUAGAACCUUCCCGACAGUCAAGCAUGUUGGUGGGAGUUUCAAGAUUUGGGGCAGCUUUUUGUCUUCUGGACCAGGUCGACUGAACAUUGUGAAGGAAACCAGGAAUUCUGAGGUACAGAACGUCAGGCCAUAAGCCAAGGAGAUAAACUGGUCUGAAAAUGGGUCUUCCAACAAAACAAUGACCCAAAGCAUUCAUGGACUAAAGAAUGGAACAGGAGAAAGAAGAUUUGUGUUUUGGAUUAACCAAGUGAUCUUAACCAAAUUAUUAUUGCCUAUAGGAUACUGCCUAUAGGAUACUGCCUAUAGGAUAAUGCCUAUAUGAAAUGUUUACUCCAAGUUGUUGCUGCUAAUUAUCGUUGCUAAUCUGACUACCCCCCUGGACCAGGACAGGAGGAAUCAGGGCACCAGGUCAGAGUGGACCAGAAGAACAAAACAGAGUUGGCUGGGACUCCCUGACAUCCAGAAGGCCCAGACAUUGGUUCAUGUUUGUAUACAAGGCUGAACAGCAGGAACUUACAGGCUUACUGUGAUAUCCCAAGAAAGAACUGGUUUGGGCUUUUACACAGCCCACUC
Molecule: long non-coding RNA, 2237 nt
Organism: Esox lucius (northern pike)
Lineage: Eukaryota; Metazoa; Chordata; Actinopteri; Esociformes; Esocidae
Source: Ensembl